GAUGAACGCUGGCGGCAUGCCUAACACAUGCAAGUUGAACGAGAAGUUCUGGAACAAGUCUUCGGACAAGGGAAGGGACGGGAAGUAGCGAACGGGUGAGUAACGCGUGGGCAACCAACCUUACACAGGGGGAUAACGCAGAGAAAUUUGCGCUAAUACCGCAUAAGCGCACAGGAUCACAUGAUCCGGUGUGAAAAACUCCGGUGGUGUAAGACGGGCCCGCGUCUGAUUAGCUAGUUGGUGAGGUAAAGGCUCACCAAGGCGACGAUCAGUAGCCGACCUGAGAGGGUGAUCGGCCACAUUGGGACUGAGACACGGCCCAAACUCCUACGGGAGGCAGCAGUGGGGGAUAUUGCACAAUGGAGGGAACUCUGAUGCAGCAAUGCCGCGUGAAGGAAGAAGGUUUUCGGAUUGUAAACUUCUAUCAGCAGGGAAGAAAAUGACGGUACCUG
This 452-nucleotide ribosomal RNA is filed under the name Lachnospiraceae bacterium oral taxon A61. RNAcentral describes it as "bacterial SSU rRNA". It matches the Rfam family "Bacterial small subunit ribosomal RNA", at positions 28 to 481 of the family's 1533-position model. Lineage: Bacteria; Bacillati; Bacillota; Clostridia; Lachnospirales; Lachnospiraceae. The record is from RNAcentral.